This 540-nucleotide ribosomal RNA is filed under the name uncultured archaeon. RNAcentral's name for it is "bacterial SSU rRNA". It matches the Rfam family "Archaeal small subunit ribosomal RNA", at positions 457 to 997 of the family's 1478-position model. The record is from RNAcentral.
GCCAGCAGCCGCGGUAAUACCGGCGGCUCGAGUGGUGGCCACUUUAUUGGGCUUAAAGCGUUCGUAGCUGGGUUAUUAAGUCCCUUGGGAAAUCCGACAGCUUAACUGUCGGGCGUCUAAGAGAUACUGGUAAUCUUGGAACCGGGAGAGGUGAGGGGUACUUCGGGGGUAGGAGUGAAAUCCUGUAAUCCUCGAGGGACCACCUGUGGCGAAGGCGCCUCACCAGAACGGCUUCGACAGUGAGGGACGAAAGCUGGGGGAGCAAACCGGAUUAGAUACCCGGGUAGUCCCAGCCGUAAACGAUGUGCGUUAGGUGUAUCGGUGACCACGAGUCACCGAGGUGCCGAAGGGAAACCGUGAAACGUACCGCCUGGGAAGUACGGUCGCAAGGCUGAAACUUAAAGGAAUUGGCGGGGGAGCACCACAACAGGUGGAGCCUGCGGUUUAAUUGGACUCAACGCCGGAAAUCUCACCGGAUAAGACAGCAGAAUGAUUGCCGGGCUGAAGACUCUGCAUGACUAGCUGAGUAGUGGUGCAUGG